CAAGCCUACAUAUGUAAUGUU
RNAcentral lists this non-coding RNA (21 nucleotides) under Arabidopsis thaliana (thale cress). The record is from RNAcentral. Lineage: Eukaryota; Viridiplantae; Streptophyta; Magnoliopsida; Brassicales; Brassicaceae.